This 659-nucleotide ribosomal RNA is filed under the name Bacillus sp. 15UB. RNAcentral describes it as "bacterial SSU rRNA". It matches the Rfam family "Bacterial small subunit ribosomal RNA", at positions 77 to 719 of the family's 1533-position model. The record is from RNAcentral. Lineage: Bacteria; Bacillati; Bacillota; Bacilli; Caryophanales; Bacillaceae.
AGCUUGCUCUUAUGAAGUUAGCGGCGGACGGGUGAGUAACACGUGGGUAACCUGCCCAUAAGACUGGGAUAACUCCGGGAAACCGGGGCUAAUACCGGAUAACAUUUUGAACCGCAUGGUUCGAAAUUGAAAGGCGGCUUCGGCUGUCACUUAUGGAUGGACCCGCGUCGCAUUAGCUAGUUGGUGAGGUAACGGCUCACCAAGGCAACGAUGCGUAGCCGACCUGAGAGGGUGAUCGGCCACACUGGGACUGAGACACGGCCCAGACUCCUACGGGAGGCAGCAGUAGGGAAUCUUCCGCAAUGGACGAAAGUCUGACGGAGCAACGCCGCGUGAGUGAUGAAGGCUUUCGGGUCGUAAAACUCUGUUGUUAGGGAAGAACAAGUGCUAGUUGAAUAAGCUGGCACCUUGACGGUACCUAACCAGAAAGCCACGGCUAACUACGUGCCAGCAGCCGCGGUAAUACGUAGGUGGCAAGCGUUAUCCGGAAUUAUUGGGCGUAAAGCGCGCGCAGGUGGUUUCUUAAGUCUGAUGUGAAAGCCCACGGCUCAACCGUGGAGGGUCAUUGGAAACUGGGAGACUUGAGUGCAGAAGAGGAAAGUGGAAUUCCAUGUGUAGCGGUGAAAUGCGUAGAGAUAUGGAGGAACACCAGUGGCGAA